RNAcentral lists this long non-coding RNA (9681 nucleotides) under Capsicum annuum. RNAcentral's name for it is "long non-coding RNA (CANN_LNC002635)". Lineage: Eukaryota; Viridiplantae; Streptophyta; Magnoliopsida; Solanales; Solanaceae. The record is from RNAcentral.
GAAAGAUGAAGACUUUAUAUUCAGAAAGUACAAAAAAAUUUCAUCAAAGUUUUAAUUCUAACUUAUAGCAAAUCUGGGUGUGCAAAAAUUGGAGCAUAUUUCAAAUAUAUAAGAACUUAGAGGAAAUAUUUAAUAUGUUGAGAAUAUUUUUUUCCUUUCAAUUUUCUAUUUCUGAUCAUCGUCUCCGGACCUUCGUCGCCGGUCAACCACCGGUGCGUCUUCUCAUCUUUUUCGGUGCCCCUGCUCAACCCUAGAUCUCCAUCGCCGACAGAAAUUCGAAGGCACUAUUGAAAAUUAGCAUCUGCCGCUCAUUGCCGCCAGAGUUUAAGUCGCCGACAUUCUUUCCGGCGAAUCUGACAUAUUUCUCCCGCGAACCCUAUCUUUCCUGUGGCUUUCUCCCUUGUUUUUGUUUUGCUUUCCCCUUUCUUGCAGGUGCUACCAGCGCAAGAGUCUUUGGUAUUUCUGAUUUCCUCUACACACCAGCAGUCAGACCGACGUGAGGUGUCUCAGGCAAUAAGAUUCUAAUGACCAAUUAACUCUAACUUGCCAGAAUCCAACAAACCACCCAAGAAAUCUCCCUACCUCCACUUCAUUUUCUCACUGAAAAGAAUAGGUGCACUCUCUCCCUCUCAUCUAGCUAUGUUUGUUUUGAUUUCUUAUUUGUUGGUGGCUUAGACUUUUGGUUUGUUUAUGUCUUUUUGCUAGUCCGAUUCUCGACUCGCUUGUUCAAUGUUUCUUGCCUAUUUAUGUUAUUUUAUUCUUGAUUACUUUCCUGUGGGUAGUAUACUUCUUGGUAUUGUUUUUUUGUUUAUCAAAACUUGCGACAUAGGAUAUUGGUUUUCUUGUGGCAUACGCUGUUGGUAUUAAUUUCUUGUAGAUUUAUUGCUUUUGGCGUACAUUGUUAUAUCUUGGUUCACUUGGUAUUGCCGUUGUGUAAUACCCCUCACUAUUCUUAGUUCGAUUCAGCAUGCAUAAGGGGCUUAAGGCUCGAAAAACAAUAAGGUCCUAUUUGGUCAUGAAAUUUAUUUUUUUUUUUUCGAAAAUUUUUUUCAGAGUUGAAAAUUGUGGUGUUUGGCCAUGAAAAUUCGAAAAAUAAUUUCGAAAUUUUUUUCUGAAAAGGGAAAACAGGUUUUUGUUGUUUUCACAAUUUUUCAACUCCAAUUUCAACUUUUAUUAUUAUUACAUAUAACCCCAAUCUUUUAAAUUUUUACAUAAAAUUCUCCUUGUAACAUUACUUUUUCAAUAUUACGUAUAUAGCAGUUUUAAAGAAUAAGAUAAUUAUAAUUUCAAACUUAAUGCUAUCCUAAUUAAUAUAUAUCUCUUUUUCUCUCUCAUCAUUAUUUUUAUCCCUUAUUUAUUUUCUCCCUUAUUUCAAACAUUAUUUUACUGUUAAUUUAUAUUUAUACCGAUAAAUAUAUAAAGUAUUAUAUUUAUAAUAGAAAUAUACAAAGUAUGUUAUAUAUAAAGUUUAUACCAUGUAUAUAUCAUAUACACACAUAUAUGAAUAUACAAAGUAUUAAGAAACAUACGAAGCAUAUUUAUAAUAUAAAUAUACAAAGUAUGUUAUAUAUGAAGUUUAUACCAUGUAUAUAUCAUAUACGCACAUAUAUAAAAAUACAAAGUAUAAAGAAAUAGUAUAAAGAAGCAUACUAAGCAUAUUUAUAUAUUUAUGGUAUAUGAUAUAAUACCAUAAAUAUGCAAAACAUAUUUUACAUAGAAAUAAUUUAUUCACAUACAGUAAAAUCUUUCAUGUAUGAGAAAAUUAAAGAAAUAAAUUAGCGGCACCCUAAAAUUUAAUAACAACUCAUCAUUUCCUAUUUUUUAGGAACGAAAAAUGAAAGAAAUAAAUUAAAGAAAUUCAUAAAAAAAAUAAAUUUAUUUGAAAGAUAAUAUUUGUUACCUAAAAAAUAGGAAACAGUGGUCUGUUAAUAUAACAUCCAUAUUUAAAAUUUUUAAAUACGAGAAAACGGCUAUUAAUGUAAAUAUUAUAUAUAUGUCAUAAUUAAAAUUCAUUAAAUAUGGCCAUGUAUAUGUAAUUAUUUUUAUAAUAGUGGCUAAUUGUGUUCAUUUUCCAUUAGUAGGUAAAUUUUAGUUAGGUGAUUUUGAUAGUUUGUAAAAGUUAGGGCAUAAAAUCAUAUUUAAUUUUUUUUUUCAAAAGUCAAAAAGAAAUUUCGAAAAAGACAUGGUCAAACACAACUUCAACUCCAAUUUCAACUCCAAUUUCAACUCCGAAAAAUUUUAGUUUUCAUGACCAAACGGUUACUAAGUAUUGGGGACUUAGUCAUUUUCAAAAUCCCUAAACUUUGAGGAUUUUUAAUUUGGUCUUCCCGACUCUGAGACUUUAGUUUUUGAGUUAAGUCAUGUUCAGGGAUGUAAGAAGUAUGUCUCGGAGAAGUUUUGAAUUUUUCGGACAAGGUUUGGGGCAUGUUUAGAUCACGAAACCAGUGGGUUACCACGAUAAACCCGCGAUGCGGCAUUAGUCCCGAACUCAUGUUUACUGUGUCGUGGUAAGGGAAUUCAACGAUCGUGUUAGACCGCAUCACAGUGACGUUGUUGUGUCCAGUUUUUUAUUUAAAUUGUUGAGGGACAAUUGUGUCGUUUCUCCCUCAACCCAAAUCGUCCAUAACAUGAAUUGGGACAUCAUUUAGGGCAUUAUUUGCUCUUCUUCUCCAAAUCCCUCUCAAGGAAAACCUCACCUCCCCUAAGAACAAGAACAAAAAUUCAAUUCCUUUCUCCCCAAGAAAUCAAUAAUUCCAGUUCCCCAAGUUCAAGAACCUUCAAGAAAGCAUCAAGAUUAGUGUUUUUAUUUCAAGUUAAGAAGCUUAAGGUAUGUGGGGUGUUCAUCCAUAGGUCCCUUUCAUCUAUGGAGCCCAAAAACCCUCUUUUAAAUUAAAGAACCAUUUUCCAUCAUUAAUGUAUUUUAUAUUGCUUAAGAUGGGUUUAAUUUAUGUUUUCAUAGUAAUUUAAAUACAACUCAGUCCAUGUAUGAUCCCAUGCAAGAUUUGAAUUCCUCAUGCUAUGAAUUUCAGCUUUCCAUGUCUUAGCCAAGUGAACUUCAUGUUGUUGAAUUCUUAUGUUUAAAAUAGCCCCAUGUACAAGUCCAUGCUUUCCACAUGUUUGAUGAAAUGCCCAUGUUUUGAGUUGAACCAUGAUUCAAUAUUACAGUUUAUGUCAUGUUUUAAUCGUCACUCAGUGCUGGUGGGAUAUGAAUAGCCGAUACCUAUGUGUUCUACAUGAUUUUCAGAUUUUCAAGUUUAAUUCAGUUAAGCCAUGAAUAUCCUUACUUACUCAGUUAUUAUUUACUAUUCUUAAGAUGAGCACUAUCAGAAAUAAUAUUCAGUUAAACUUAAUUCAGUUCAGUACUGAUGUCAGUUUAGUUAGGAGUAGGAGUUAUCACCGACCAAAUCUAGGAAUGGGGGCUGACCCGCCAAUUAGGACUGGGUCCUUAGUAGUAGUCCCUAAGUUUUAGAACUACAUAGCCAGCGUAGGAUUAUGAGAUGUCACCCGCUAGUUUAGGACUGACACUCUCAAAGGGGUCACCCGCCAGUUAGGACUACUCCCUAGUCCCACGGGACAUCAACCUUGUGGAAUCCACAUCGUCAUCUAGUGUUAGUACCCGUGGCAUGGUACUGACACCCUUUCAACUGGGGUUACAAGUUGGACCCCAAUUAGCUCAAAUUGGGGCAUGUCGGUUAUAUGAUACCUCUCACAAUCUUAGUAUAAUAUUCAGUGUAUAUUCAGUUCAGGUUUGCUUGACCAAAGCAUACAGAUUUACAGUUAUUCAGCUAUACAAAUUUCAGUUUUUCAUUUUAUAGAUUAUUUCAAAAUUAUGUAUAUGCUUGGUCUUGCAUUAUUAGAUAUUACAGUUUUCAUGCAUUCAUGCGCAGUUAGUUCAAGCUGUUCAGUUAGUCCUUAUCUCAUGUGCACAGUACCCCAUACAUUUCAGCCAGACCUCAUCUCAUAUACCAGUACAUUCAAAGUACUGAUUGCAUACUUUUCUUUGUUGUAUGUUGUCUUAUAACAUAGGUUGCAUAUCAGUUGCAGGAUGUAGCUCACACUUGGUUUAAGCAGUAGAAGGAGGACCGUGGUGUUGAUGUUGGGCUUGUUGAGUGGGAGGAAUUUUCUAAGACUUUUCUAGACAAGUUCUUCUCAUUAGAUUUGAGGGAGGCUAAGAUUCAGAAGUUCAUUAAUUUAAAGCAAGGCAGUAUGAGUGUGAAGGAGUACUCAUUUAAGUUUACUCAGUUGGCAAGGUAUGCUCCUACUAUGGUUGCAGACAACAGGUUUAGAAUGAGUAAGUUCAUGUCUAGUGUAGAUAAUAGUAUGGUUAUGGAGUGUAGUACUGCCAUGUUAAUUAAGGAGAUGGACUUAUCUAGACUUAUGGUUCAUGCUCAGCAGAUUGAGGAAGAGAAGCUUAAGGAGAAAGAGAGAGAAUAAGAGGGACAAAACGGGUAGUUUUAACUUUUCUCAGCCAAGGUCGGAAGGUGGUGACCAUUCUCAGUUUCGUUAGAAUUUUUCAGCUCCAGCUCCAUCUUCAGUCGGUGCGCCAAUGCCUAAGUUUAGGCAAGACGUCGGGAUAGGGUGCCAGGAUCUAAGUCCUAGGGUAGUGUAAACAGUGGUCACACUAAUUUGCUUUAGGGAAUUGAAAGAACAGUUGAAGGAUCUCUUAGAUGAGGGAUUCAUCAGGCCUAGUAUUUCCCAAUGGGGUGCUCUAGUCUUGUUCGUGCGUAAGAAAGACGGUUCUCUCAGAAUGUGCAUCGAUUACCGUCGGUUGAACAAAGUCACAAUCAAGAGUAAGUAUCCACUCCCCAGGAUUGAUGACUUGUUUGACCAACUUUAGGGUGCCAAUUAUUUCUCUAAGAUAGACCUCAGAUCCGGCUAUCAUCAACUCAGAGUCAGAGAAUGUGACAUUCCGAAGACAACUUUUAGAACUCGGUAUGGUCACUUUGAAUUUCUAGUUAUGUCUUUUGGACUAACGAAUACCCCUCCAUCUUUCAUGGGCUUGAUGAACAGAGUGUUCAAGCAGUACUUAGACAUGUUCAUUAUAAUUUUCAUUGGUGAUAUUCUUAUCUAUUCCCGUAGUAAAAAUGAUCAUGCAAGCCAUCUGAGAAUUGUAUUACAAACCCUUAAAACUCAUUAGUUGUUCGUCAAGUUCAGUAAGUGUGAGUUUGGCUAAGAUCAAUAGCUUUUCUUGGCCAUAUUAUUUUCGGUGAUGGCAUUCGAGUUGACUCUUAAAAGACCGAAGCAGUGAGAAACUUGCCCAGAUCCAUCUCUCCAUCAAAUAUUAGGAGUUUCUUAGGUUUGGCUGGCUAUUACAGACGGUUUGUUGAAGGUUUUUCUUCUAUUGCAUCCCCCAUGUCUCUAUUGACUUGAAAAAAGAUCAAAUUUCAGUGGUCAGAUUCUUGCGAGAAAGUUUUCAACAGUUAAAGACUCGACUCACUUCAGCGCCAGUAUUGACAUUGCCAGAUGGUUCAAAUGGGUUUGUAGUUUAUUGUGAUGCUUCCAAAGUUGGUCUUGGUUGUGUAUUGAUGCAGAGAGGUAAGGUCAUAGCAUAUGUCUCUAGACAGCUUAAACCCCAUGAGAAGAAUUAUCCUACCCAUGAUCUUGAGUUGACAAUUGUUGUUUUAUCCUUGAAAAUUUGGAGGCAUUAUCUUUAUGGAGUGCAUGUUGAUAUGUUAACGGACCACAAAAGUUUACAGUAUGUGUUCUCACAGAAAGAUUUGAAUCUUCGUCAGAGAAGGUGGCUUGAGUUGUUAAAAGAAUAUGAGACGAGUGUUUUAUAUCAUCCAAGCAAGGACAAUGUAGUGACAGAUGCCCUUAAUAGAUUGUCUAUAAGUAGUGUUGCUCAUGUUGAGGAUGAUAGGAAGAAGUUAGUUCAUGAGGUUCAUCAUCUUUCUAGAUUGGUUGUUCGGUUGGUUGAUUCAACUAAAGGCAGUGUAUGGGUUCAAAAUGGUUUGGAAUCUUCAUUGGCUGCUGAAGUAAAGGAAAAGCAAGUAGGGAUCCCAGUCUGGUUAAGUUGAAGGAAUCAGUCAGAGAUCAGAAAGUAGAGGUUAUCUCCCAAGGAGGAGAUAGUGUGUUUUGCUGACAGGGUGUGUUUCGUGUGUUGAUGAUUUGAGGCAACGAAUUUUGGCAAAAGCGUAUGGUGUGUGAUUUCCCUUCAUCUAGGAGCCACUAGAUGUACCGUGACUUGCGGGAAAUCUAUUAGUGGAAUGGUUUGAAGAAGGAUAUUGCAGAGUUUGUAGCUAAGUUUUCAAAUUGUUAGUAGGUUAAAGUUGAGCACCAAAGGUCUAGUAGUACAUUGCAGGAGUUCAACAUCCCCACUUGGAAGUGGGAAGUGGUGAACAUAGAUUUUGUGAUGGGUUUGCCUUGUACGUGUCAUCAACAUGAUUCGAUAUGGUCAUUGUAGAUAGAAUGACUAAAUCAGCUCAUUUCUUGCCAGUUCAUACUUCGUACUCAGCUGAGGAUUAUGCUAGGCUUUAUAUUAGAGAGUUAGUUAAGUUGCAUGGAGUUCCAUUGUCUAUCAUUUUAGAUAGAGGUACUUUGUUUAUCUCUCACUUUUAGAAGGCUUUUUAGAAGGGUCUUGGUACCCAACUUCAUCUAAGUACAACUUUUCAUCCUCAGACAGAUGGUUAGGCAUAGACGACCAUUCAGACCUUAGAAGACAUGUUGAGAACAUGUGUUAUUUAUUUUAAAGUUAGUUGGGAUGACCACUUACUGUUGAUUGAGUUUGCCUACAAUAACAACUAUCACUCUAGUAUUCAGAUGGCUCCAUUUGAGGCUCUCUAUGAGAGGAGAUAUAGAUCUCCUAUUGGUUGGUUUGAAGCAGGUGAGGCUACUUUGAUAGGGCCAGAUUUAGUUUUUGAUGCGAUGGAGAAAGUUCAGUUGAUUAGGGAGAGGCUUAAGACAACCUAAAGCCGUCAGAAAUCUUAUGCAGGUGUGAGAAGAAGAGACCUUGAGUUUGAUGUUCGUGAUUUAGUCUAUUUGAAAAUCUCGCCCAUGAAGGGAGUGAAGAGAUUUGGUAAGAAAGGGAAACUCAGUCCCCGAUAUAUUGGCCCUUAUAGAAUCUUGAACCAUUUUAGGAAGGUAGCUGAUGAGCUAAAGUUGCCGGCAGAUUUGACAUUAGCCUAUCCGGUGUUUCAUGUUUCUUUGUUAAAGAAAUGUAUUGGUGAUUCAGCUGUUGUUAUUCCUUUAGAAAGUACAAGUGUUCAGGAUAGCCUUUCUUUCAAAGAAGUUCCAAUUGAGAUUCUAGAUCGUCAGAUUCGUAGACUAAGGAACAAAAAAGUUCCCUUGGUUAAAAUUCUAUGGCAAAAUCAGUCCGUUGAGGGAGCUACUUGGGAAAUAGAAGUAGAUAUGCGUACUAAGUACCCUCAUCUUUUCUCCGCAAACUCAGACUUGACUUAAGGUAGCAGUUUUCCUUAAAUUGACUCUUUUCUACUCUCAGUCCUAGCUAUAUAACUAUUCCCAUGCAUUAUUGCAUGCAUUCAUAAAAUCAAUUCAGUUCAUGUAUCAUGUUUCAGACUCAGUUAUGAAAUCAUGUUCCAAAUCAUGCAUGUUUCGUAUAUGAUAUCAAUUGCCUUAGUUCAGUACUCUUAGUCUAAUCAGUCUGAUUCGAGGACGAAUGUUCCCAAGAGGGAGAUAUUGUAAUACCCCGUACUAUUCUUAGUUCGAUUCAGCUCUUAGUUGGAUGCAUAAGGGGCUUAAGGCCUAAAAAUUUUACUAAGUGUUGAGGACUUAGUCAUUUUCAAGAUCCCUAAACUUUGAGGAUAUUUAAUUUGGCCUUCCUGAUCCGAGAUGUUGGUUUUUCAAUUAAGUCAUGUUCAGGGAUUUAAGAAGUAUGUCUCGAAGAAGUUUUGGAUUAUUCAGAAAAGGUUUGAGGCAUGUUUGGAUCACGAAACUAGUGGGUUACCGCGAUAAACCAGUGACGCGACAUUAGUCCUGAACUCAUGUUUAUCGCAUUGCGGUGAGGGAAUUCAAUGACCGCGAUUAGACCAUAUCGUGGUGACCUUAUUGCACCCAGAUUUUUAUUUAAAUGGUUGAGAGGCAAUUGUGUCUUUUACCCCUUAACCUAAAUCGUCCAUAACACGAAUUGGGACAUCAUUUAGGGCAUUAUUUGCCUUUCUUCUCCAAAUCCCUAUCAAGGAAACCCUCACCUUCCCCCUAGAACAAGAACAAGAACAAGAAUUCAAUUCCUUUCUCCCCAAGAAAUCAAUAAUUCCAGUUUCCUAAUAUCAAGAACCUUCAAAAAAGCAUCAAGAUUAGUGUUUCCCUUUCAAGUUAAGAAGCUUAAGGUAUGUGGGGUGUUCAUCCAUGGGUCCCUUUCACCCAUGGAGCCCAAAAACCCUCUCUUAAAUUAAAGAACGGAUUUUUCUAUCAUUAAUGUAUUUUAUAUUGCUUAAGAUAGGUUUAAUUCAUGCUUUCAUGGUAAUUUAAAUGCAACCCAGUCCAUGUAUGAUCCCAUGCAAGAUUUGAAUUCCUCAUGCUAUGAAUUUUAGUUUCCCAUGUCUUAGCCAAGUGAACUUCAUAUUGUUGAAUUCUCAUGUUUAAAAUACCCCCAUGUACAAGUCCAUGCCUUCCACAUGUUUGAUGAAAUGCCCAUGUUUUGAGUUGAACCAUAAUUCAAUUUUACAGUUUAAGUUUAAACGCCAUGUUUUAAUUGUCACUCAGUGCUGGUGGGUUAUGAAUACUCAAUACCUACGUGUUCUACAUGAUUUUUAGAUUUUCAAGUAUGAUUCAGUUAAACCAUGAAUAUCCUUCCUUACUAAGUUAUUAUGCUUAAGAUGUGCACUAUCAGAAAUAAUAUUAAGUUAAACUUAAUUUAGUUCAGUUGCGAGUAGGAUUUAGCACCGAGCGAACCUAGGGAUGGGGGCACACCCUCCAGUUAGGACUGAGUCCUUAGUAGCAGUCCUUAAGUUCCAGAACUACGUAAUCAGGGUAGGAUUAUGAAAUGUAACUCACUAAUUUAGAAUUGACACUCUCUUAGGGGUCACCCGUCAGUUAGAACUGACUCCCUAGUCCUACGGGACGUUAGCCUUAUGGAAUCCACAUCGUCAGCUAGUGUUAGUACCCGUGGUAUGGUACUGACACCCUUUUAACUAGGGUUAUAUGUUGGACACCAAUUAGCUCAGAUUGGGGCAUGUCAGUUAUAUGAUACCUCCCACAGUCUCAAUACAGUAUUCAGUGUAUAUUCAGUUCAGGUUUGCUUGACCAAAGCAUACAGAUUUACAGUUAUUCAGCUAUACAAAUUUCAGUCUUUCAGUUUAUAGAUUGUUUCAGAAAUAUGUUUAUGCUUGGUCUUGCAUUCUCAGAUAUUACAGUUUUCAUGUAUUCAUGUUCAGUUAUUUCAUGUUGUUCAGUUAAUCCUUAUAUCAUGUUCAUAGUACCCCAUGCAUUUCAGCCAGACCUCAUCUCAUAUACCAAUACAUUUAAAGUACUGAUCGCAUAUUUUUCUUUGUACUAUAUUGUCUUAUAACAUAGGUUCGGACGCUCAGUUUCUCGAUCCCUCCUAGAUAGCUCAGCGUACCCAGCAGUAGUAGAGGUGAGUCCUCAUCCAUCGAGGACAUGAUUGUGUAUUCUAGUUAUUUUUGUAGUUCUUUAUAUUCAGUCGGAUGGAGUUGGUUGGGGGCUUGUCCCAUCAACUCCUCAAUCAGUUAGAGGCUUUUCAUACAAACAGUUAGACAAGCAGUC